This 484-nucleotide ribosomal RNA is filed under the name uncultured bacterium. Its description in RNAcentral is "partial 16S ribosomal RNA". It matches the Rfam family "Bacterial small subunit ribosomal RNA", at positions 28 to 507 of the family's 1533-position model. The record is from RNAcentral.
AUUGAACGCUGGCGGCAUGCUUUACACAUGCAAGUCGAACGGCAGCGCGGGCUUCGGCCUGGCGGCGAGUGGCGAACGGGUGAGUAAUGCAUCGGAACGUGCCCAGUAGUGUGGGAUAGCCCGGCGAAAGCCGGAUUAAUACCGCAUACGACCUGAGGGUGAAAGCGGGGGACCGAAAGGCCUCGCGCUAUUGGAGCGGCCGAUGUCGGAUUAGCUAGUUGGUGGGGUAAAGGCUUACCAAGGCGACGAUCCGUAGCUGGUCUGAGAGGACGACCAGCCACACUGGGACUGAGACACGGCCCAGACUCCUACGGGAGGCAGCAGUGGGGAAUUUUGGACAAUGGGGGCAACCCUGAUCCAGCCAUGCCGCGUGCGGGAAGAAGGCCUUCGGGUUGUAAACCGCUUUUGUUCGGGAAGAAAUCCUCUGGGCUAAUACCCCGGGGGGAUGACGGUACCGGAAGAAUAAGCACCGGCUAACUACGUG